RNAcentral lists this ribosomal RNA (132 nucleotides) under Henningerozyma blattae. Its description in RNAcentral is "Tetrapisispora blattae partial 26S ribosomal RNA". Lineage: Eukaryota; Fungi; Ascomycota; Saccharomycetes; Saccharomycetales; Saccharomycetaceae. The record is from RNAcentral.
GGCCAGCAUCAGUUUUACGGUGGUUGGAUAAAUCCUUUGGAAUGUGGCUUGCCUCGGCGAGUGUUAUAGCCUAUGGGAAUACAGCCAGCUGGGACUGAGGAUUGCGACGUUUUGUCAAGGAUGCUGGGUAAU